Molecule: transfer RNA, 74 nt
Filed under: Pseudomonadota bacterium
Lineage: Bacteria; Pseudomonadati; Pseudomonadota
Also listed under: 1 other name
Description: tRNA-Arg
Rfam family: tRNA
About the family: Transfer RNA (tRNA) molecules are approximately 80 nucleotides in length.
Source: RNAcentral
GCCCCAGUAGCUCAGUUGGAUAGAGCAGAGGUUUCCUAAACCUCGUGUCGGAGGUUCGAAUCCUCCUUGGGGCA